UACGGAGGGGACUAGCGUUGUUCGGAAUUACUGGGUGUAAAGCGCACGUAGGCGGAUUUGUAAGUCAGGGGUGAAAUCCCGGGGCUCAACCUCGGAACUGCCUUUGAUACUGCAAAUCUCGAGUCCGGAAGAGGUGAGUGGAAUUCCUAGUGUAGAGGUGAAAUUCGUAGAUAUUAGGAAGAACACCAGUGGCGAAGGCGGCUCACUGGUCCGGUACUGACGCUGAGGUGCGAAAGCGUGGGGAGCAAACAGG
Molecule: ribosomal RNA, 253 nt
Filed under: uncultured bacterium
Lineage: Bacteria
Description: partial 16S ribosomal RNA
Rfam family: Bacterial small subunit ribosomal RNA
Source: RNAcentral